GGGUCGACGAUGAGACUUCAUGAUGUCUCGAGGAGAUGAUGGCUUAAAAAUCAUGCUCAAUAGGAUUACACUGAGACCC
Molecule: small nucleolar RNA, 79 nt
Organism: Oryctolagus cuniculus (rabbit)
Lineage: Eukaryota; Metazoa; Chordata; Mammalia; Lagomorpha; Leporidae
Gene: SNORD115
Rfam family: Small nucleolar RNA SNORD115
About the family: HBII-52 is a member of the C/D class of snoRNAs, which contain the C (UGAUGA) and D (CUGA) box motifs. HBII-52 is encoded in a tandemly repeated array with another C/D snoRNA, HBII-85, in the Prader-Willi syndrome (PWS) region of chromosome 15.
Source: Ensembl